RNAcentral lists this ribosomal RNA (274 nucleotides) under uncultured bacterium. Its description in RNAcentral is "partial 16S ribosomal RNA". It matches the Rfam family "Archaeal small subunit ribosomal RNA", at positions 473 to 747 of the family's 1478-position model. The record is from RNAcentral.
AAACCAGCACCUCAAGUGGUCAGGAUGAUUAUUGAGCCUAAAGCAUCCGUAGCCGGCUCUGUAAGUUUUCGGUUAAAUCUAUACGCUUAACGUACAGGCUGCUGGGAAUACUGCAGAGCUAGGGAGUGGGAGAGGUAGACGGUACUCGGGAGGAAGUGGUAAAAUGCUUUGAUCUCUCGAUGACCACCUGUGGCGAAGGCGGUCUACCAGAACACGUCCGACGGUGAGGGAUGAAAGCUGGGGGAGCAAACCGGAUUAGAAACCCGAGUAGUCC